CCCUUCGCGGGGGGAGGGGCAGUAGGGAAUCUUCCACAAUGGGCGCAAGCCUGAUGGAGCAACACCGCGUGAGUGAAGAAGGGUUUCGGCUCGUAAAGCUCUGUUGUUGGAGAAGAACGUGCGUGAGAGUAACUGUUCACGCAGUGACGGUAUCCAACCAGAAAGUCACGGCUAACUACGUGCCAGCAGCCGCGGUAAUACGUAGGUGGCAAGCGUUAUCCGGAUUUAUUGGGCGUAAAGCGAGCGCAGGCGGUUGCUUAGGUCUGAUGUGAAAGCCUUCGGCUUAACCGAAGAAGUGCAUCGGAAACCGGGCGACUUGAGUGCAGAAGAGGACAGUGGAACUCCAUGUGUAGCGGUGGAAUGCGUAGAUAUAUGGAAGAACACCAGUGGCGAAGGCGGCUGUCUGGUCUGCAACUGACGCUGAGGCUCGAAAGCAUGGGUAGCGAACAGGAUUAGAUACCCUGGUAGUCCAUGCCGUAAACGAUGAGUGCUAGGUGUUGGAGGGUUUCCGCCCUUCAGUGCCGGAGCUAACGCAUAAGCACUCCGCCUGGAGACACCGGACCGG
This 565-nucleotide ribosomal RNA is filed under the name Limosilactobacillus reuteri. Its description in RNAcentral is "bacterial SSU rRNA". It matches the Rfam family "Bacterial small subunit ribosomal RNA", at positions 337 to 890 of the family's 1533-position model. The record is from RNAcentral. Lineage: Bacteria; Bacillati; Bacillota; Bacilli; Lactobacillales; Lactobacillaceae.